CCUACGGGUGGCAGCAGUGAGGAAUAUUGGUCAAUGGGCGCGAGUCUGAACCAGCCAAGUAGCGUGAAGGAUGACUGCCCUAUGGGUUGUCAACUUCUUUUAUAUAGGAAUAAAGUGAUCCACGUGUGGGUUUUUGUAUGUACCCUAUGAAUAAGGAUCGGCUAACUCCGUGCCAGCAGCCGCGGUAAUACGGAGGAUCCGAGCGUUAUCCGGAUUUAUUGGGUUUAAAGGGAGCGUAGGUGGGUUGUUAAGUCAGUUGUGAAAGUUUGCGGCUCAACCGUAAAAUUGCAGUUGAAACUGGCAGGCUUGAGUACAGUAGAGGUAGGCGGAAUUCGUGGUGUAGCGGUGAAAUGCUUAGAUAUCACGAAGAACUCCGAUUGCGAAGGCAGCUUACUGGACUGCAACUGACAUUGAGGCUCGAAAGUGUGGGUAUCAAACAGGAUUAGAUACCCUAGUAGUC
RNAcentral lists this ribosomal RNA (460 nucleotides) under uncultured bacterium. RNAcentral's name for it is "partial 16S ribosomal RNA". It matches the Rfam family "Bacterial small subunit ribosomal RNA", at positions 338 to 795 of the family's 1533-position model. The record is from RNAcentral.